GGCGGCGUGCCUAAUACAUGCAAGUCGCGCGCGGGAAGCAGACAGAAAUCUUCGGAUGGACGUCUGUGGAACGAGCGGCGGAUGGGUGAGUAACACGUGGGCAACCUGCCUGUAAGGGCUGGGAUAACUCGCGGAAACGUGAGCUAAUACCGGAUGAAGUCUUUUAUCGCCUGAUAAAGGAAUAAAAAGGUGGCAUAUGCUACCACUUACAGAUGGGCCCGUGGCGCAUUAGCUAGUUGGUAGGAUAAAGCCUACCAAGGCGACGAUGCGUAGCCGACCUGAGAGGGUGAUCGGCCACACUGGGACUGAGACACGGCCCAGACUCCUACGGGAGGCAGCAGUAGGGAAUCUUCCGCAAUGGACGCAAGUCUGACGGAGCGACGCCGCGUGAGUGAUGAAGGUCUUCGGAUCGUAAAACUCUGUUGUCAGGGAAGAACAAGUGCCGUUCGAAUAGGGCGGUACCUUGACGGUACCUAACCAGAAAGCCCCGGCUAACUACGUGCCAGCAGCUGC
Molecule: ribosomal RNA, 513 nt
Filed under: uncultured bacterium
Lineage: Bacteria
Description: bacterial SSU rRNA
Rfam family: Bacterial small subunit ribosomal RNA
Source: RNAcentral